RNAcentral lists this ribosomal RNA (483 nucleotides) under uncultured bacterium. RNAcentral describes it as "partial 16S ribosomal RNA". It matches the Rfam family "Bacterial small subunit ribosomal RNA", at positions 33 to 507 of the family's 1533-position model. The record is from RNAcentral.
AUUCACGCUGGCGGCAGGCCUCACACCUGCCAGUCGAGCGGAUGAAGGGAGCUUGCUCCUGGAUUCAGCGGCGGACGGGUGAGUAAUGCCUAGGAAUCUGCCUGGUAGUGGGGGAUAACGUCCGGAAACGGGCGCUAAUACCGCAUACGUCCUGAGGGAGAAAGUGGGGGAUCUUCGGACCUCACGCUAUCAGAUGAGCCUAGGUCGGAUUAGCUAGUUGGUGGGGUAAAGGCCUACCAAGGCGACGAUCCGUAACUGGUCUGAGAGGAUGAUCAGUCACACUGGAACUGAGACACGGUCCAGACUCCUACGGGAGGCAGCAGUGGGGAAUAUUGGACAAUGGGCGAAAGCCUGAUCCAGCCAUGCCGCGUGUGUGAAGAAGGUCUUCGGAUUGUAAAGCACUUUAAGUUGGGAGGAAGGGCAGUAAGUUAAUACCUUGCUGUUUUGACGUUACCAACAGAAUAAGCACCGGCUAACUUCGUG